Molecule: ribosomal RNA, 400 nt
Filed under: uncultured bacterium
Lineage: Bacteria
Description: bacterial SSU rRNA
Rfam family: Bacterial small subunit ribosomal RNA
Source: RNAcentral
CGGGGAAUAUUGCGCAAUGGGCGAAAGCCUGACGCAGCGACACCGCGUGAAGGAUGAAGGUCUUCGGAUUGUAAACUUCUGUUAAGUGAGAAGAAUGUCGCCAUUUUUAAUAGAUUUGGCGGAGUGACGGUAUCACUAGAGAAAGCACCGGCUAACUUCGUGCCAGCAGCCGCGGUAAUACGAGGGGUGCAAGCGUUAUUCGGAAUAACUGGGCGUAAAGGGUGCGUAGACGGUAUGUUAAGUUUGUUGUUAAAUUUCUCGGCCUAACUGAGAGCAAGCAGCGAAUACUGGCAAACUAGAGGUUGGAAGAGAGAAGUGGAAUUCUCGGUGGUAGCGGUAAAAUGCUUAGAUAUCGAGAGGAACACCGAUGGUGAAGACAGCUUCUUGGUCCAAAUCUGAC